RNAcentral lists this unclassified non-coding RNA (234 nucleotides) under plant metagenome. Its description in RNAcentral is "partial contains small subunit ribosomal RNA, internal transcribed spacer 1, and 5.8S ribosomal RNA". The record is from RNAcentral.
UCUCCGCAGGUGAACCUGCGGAAGGAUCAUUAAAGUUAUAGUCCCCCGGCCCUCUGGGCUGGGGUCUUCUAUACCACCCUUUGUUUAUUACACCUUUGUUGCUUUGGCAGGCCUGCCCUCGGGCUGCUGGCUCCGGCCGGCUCGCGUCUGCCAGAGGACCUAAACUCUGUUUGUAUAUGAAGUCUGAGUACUAUAUAAUAGUUAAAACUUUCAACAACGGAUCUCUUGGUUCUG